RNAcentral lists this ribosomal RNA (478 nucleotides) under uncultured bacterium. Its description in RNAcentral is "partial 16S ribosomal RNA". It matches the Rfam family "Bacterial small subunit ribosomal RNA", at positions 28 to 523 of the family's 1533-position model. The record is from RNAcentral.
GACGAACGCUGGCGGCAUGCCUAACACAUGCAAGUCGAACGGUAAGGCCCUUCGGGGUACACGAGUGGCGAACGGGUGAGUAACACGUGGGUGAUCUGCCCUGCACUUCGGGAUAAGCCUGGGAAACUGGGUCUAAUACCGGAUAGGACCCUGGGAUGCAUGUCCUGGGGUGGAAAGCUUUUGCGGUGUGGGAUGGGCCCGCGGCCUAUCAGCUUGUUGGUGGGGUGAUGGCCUACCAAGGCGACGACGGGUAGCCGGCCUGAGAGGGUGACCGGCCACACUGGGACUGAGAUACGGCCCAGACUCCUACGGGAGGCAGCAGUGGGGAAUAUUGCACAAUGGGCGCAAGCCUGAUGCAGCGACGCCGCGUGAGGGAUGACGGCCUUCGGGUUGUAAACCUCUUUCAGCACCGACGAAGCGCAAGUGACGGUAGGUGCAGAAGAAGGACCGGCCAACUACGUGCCAGCCGCCGCAGUAA